AGAGUUUGAUCCUGGCUCAGAUUGAACGCUGGCGGCAUGCCUAACACAUGCAAGUCGAACGGAAACAGGACGCUGGGAUCUCUUCGGAGUGAACUUGUCGCUGUCGAGUGGCGGACGGGUGAGUAAUGCAUAGGAAGUUGCCUCAAAGUGGGGGAUAGCCCGGAGAAAUCCGGAUUAAUACCGCAUGUGCUCUACGGAGCAAAGCGGGCCUCUGAUUUAAGCUCGCGCUUUGAGAUAUGCCUAUGUCGGAUUAGCUAGUUGGUAGGGUAAUGGCCUACCAAGGCGACGAUCCGUAGCUGGUUUGAGAGGAUGAUCAGCCACACUGGGACUGANAUACAGCCCANACUCCUACGGGAGGCAGCAGUGGGGAAUAUUGGACAAUGGGCGCAAGCCUGAUCCAGCAAUGCCGCGUGUGUGAAGAAGGCCUGCGGGUUGUAAAGCACUUUUAUCGGGAAAGAAAAUCUCAGGGUUAAUAACCCUGGGCCUUGACGGUACCCGAAGAAUAAGCACCGGCUAACUCANUGCCAGCAGCCGCGGUAAUACUGAGGGUGCAAGCGUUAAUCGGAAUUACUGGGCGUAAAGCGAGUGUAGGCGGCUGCGUAAGUCGGAUGUGAAAGCCCCGGGCUCAACCUGGGAAUUGCAUUC
Molecule: ribosomal RNA, 645 nt
Filed under: uncultured bacterium
Lineage: Bacteria
Description: bacterial SSU rRNA
Rfam family: Bacterial small subunit ribosomal RNA
Source: RNAcentral